This 650-nucleotide ribosomal RNA is filed under the name uncultured marine bacterium. RNAcentral describes it as "bacterial SSU rRNA". It matches the Rfam family "Bacterial small subunit ribosomal RNA", at positions 84 to 731 of the family's 1533-position model. The record is from RNAcentral.
GUAAAUGGCGACCGGCGCACGGGUGAGUAACGCGUAUGCAACCUACCUAUAACUGGGGCAUAGCUCGAGGAAACUCGAAUUAAUUCCCCAUAGUACAUUAUAAUAUCUCAUGAUAUAAAUGUUAAAGAUUUAUCGGUUAUAGAUGGGCAUGCGUCUGAUUAGUUUGUUGGUAAGGUAACGGCUUACCAAGACUACGAUCAGUAGGGGGUCUGAGAGGAUGAUCCCCCACACUGGUACUGAGACACGGACCAGACAUCUACGGAUGGCAGCAGUAAGGAAUAUUGGGCAAUGGGCGCAAGCCUGACCCAGCCAUGCCGCGUGCAGGAUGACGACCCUAUGGGUUGUAAACUGCUUUUAUAUAGGAAGAAAAUACUCUUGCGAGAGAAACUGACGGUACUAUAUGAAUAAGGACCGGCUAACUCCGUGCCAGCAGCCGCGGUAAUACGGAGGGUUCAAGCGUUUUCCGGAUUUAUUGGGUUUAAAGGGUGCGUAGGUGGUUUAUUAAGUCAGUGGUGAAAUCCUGCAGCUCAACUGUAGAACUGCCAUUGAUACUGGUAAACUUGAGUUUGGUUUAGGUAAGUGGAAUUUAUGAUGUAGCGGUGAAAUGCAUAGAUAUCAUAAGGAACACCAAUAGCGAAGGCAGCUUACUG